AGUGAACGCUGGCGGUAGGCCUAACACAUGCGAGUCGAACGGCAGCACAGUAAGAGCUUGCUCUUACGGGUGGCGAGUGGCGGACGGGUGAGGAAUACAUCGGAAUCUACUUUUUCGUGGGGGAUAACGUAGGGAAACUUACGCUAAUACCGCAUACGACCUACGGGUGAAAGCAGGGGAUCUUCGGACCUUGCGCGAUUGAAUGAGCCGAUGUCGGAUUAGCUAGUUGGCGGGGUAAAGGCCCACCAAGGCGACGAUCUGUAGCUGGUCUGAGAGGAUGAUCAGCCACACUGGAACUGAGACACGGUCCAGACUCCUACGGGAGGCAGCAGUGGGGAAUAUUGGACAAUGGGCGCAAGCCUGAUCCGGCCAUACCGCGUGGGUGAAGAAGGCCUUCGGGUUGUAAAGCCCUUUUGUUGGGAAAGAAAAGCAGCAGGUUAAUACCCCGCUGUUCUGACGGUACCCAAAGAAUAAGCACCGGCUAACUUCGUG
This 492-nucleotide ribosomal RNA is filed under the name uncultured bacterium. RNAcentral describes it as "partial 16S ribosomal RNA". It matches the Rfam family "Bacterial small subunit ribosomal RNA", at positions 29 to 507 of the family's 1533-position model. The record is from RNAcentral.